UCCGUAGGUGAACCUGCGGCAGGAUCAUUG
This 30-nucleotide ribosomal RNA is filed under the name Atractylodes lancea. Its description in RNAcentral is "partial 18S ribosomal RNA". The record is from RNAcentral. Lineage: Eukaryota; Viridiplantae; Streptophyta; Magnoliopsida; Asterales; Asteraceae.